CAGAACGAACGCUGGCGGCGCGUCUUAAGCAUGCAAGUCGAACGGCAAGAGGUAGCAAUACCUCCUAGAGUGGCGGACUGGUGAGUAACACGUGGGUGACAUACCCUUCAGAUGGGGAUAGCUAUUAGAAAUAGUAGAUAAUACCGAAUACGAGCACAGGGGUUAGAGAUCUGUGAGGAAGGGAGCUAAGGCUCCGCUGAAGGAAUGGCCUGCGGCCCAUUAGCUAGUUGGUGAGGUAAGAGCCCACCAAGGCGAUGAUGGGUAUCCGGCCUUAGAGGGUGAACGGACACAUUGGGACUGAGAUACGGCCCAGACUCCUACGGGAGGCAGCAGCUAAGAAUAUUCCGCAAUGGACGAAAGUCUGACGGAGCGACGCCGCGUGGAUGAAGAAGGCCGGAAGGUUGUAAAAUCCUUUUGAAACUGAAGAAUAAGCGUUGUAGGAAAUGACAGCGUGGUGACAGUAGGUUUUGAAUAAGCAACGGCUAAUUACGUGCCAGCCGCCGC
This 504-nucleotide ribosomal RNA is filed under the name uncultured bacterium. RNAcentral's name for it is "bacterial SSU rRNA". It matches the Rfam family "Bacterial small subunit ribosomal RNA", at positions 25 to 518 of the family's 1533-position model. The record is from RNAcentral.